This is a non-coding RNA of Mandrillus leucophaeus (drill), 1253 nucleotides long. Lineage: Eukaryota; Metazoa; Chordata; Mammalia; Primates; Cercopithecidae. The record is from the annotation of a RefSeq genome assembly.
GCUGCAAGAGGCUGGGGAGACGCUGGGGCGAGGCCGGCCCCACAUGGAGGCCCAAGCGGAGCCAGCAUGGGGGAGCCUCCACCAAGGGCCCAUCGGUCUUCCCCCUGGCGUCCUCCUCCAGGAGCACCUCCCAGAGCACAGCGGCCCUGGGCUGCCUGGUCAAGGACUACUUCCCCGAACCCGUGACCGUGUCGUGGAACUCAGGCGCCCUGACCAGCGGCGUGCACACCUUCCCGGCUGUCCUACAGUCCUCAGGGCUCUACUCCCUCAGCAGCGUGGUGACCGUGCCCUCCAGCAGCUUGGGCACCCAGACCUACACCUGCAACGUCGUUCAUGAGCCCAGCAACACCAAGGUGGACAAGAGAGUUGAGUUCCCAAGUGGUCCCAACUGCCCACCGUGCCCAGCUGAACUCCUGGGGGGACCGUCAGUCUUCCUCUACCCCCCAAAACCCAAGGACACCCUCAUGAUCUCCCGGACCCCUGAGGUCACGUGCGUGGUGGUGGACGUGAGCCAGGAAGACCCCGAGGUCCAGUUCAACUGGUACGUGGACGGCGUGGAGGUGCACAAUGCCCAGACAAAGCCGCGGGAGAGGCAGUUCAACAGCACGUACCGCGUGGUCAGCGUCCUCACCGUCACACACCAGGACUGGCUGAGCGGCAAGGAGUACACGUGCAAGGUCUCCAACAAAGGCCUCCCGGCCCCUGUCGAGAAAACCAUCUCCAAAGCCAAAGGGCAGCCCCGAGAGCCGCAGGUGUACACCCUGCCCCCGCCCCGGGAGGAGCUGACCAAGAACCAGGUCACCCUGACCUGCCUGGUCACAGGCUUCUACCCCAGCGACAUCGUCGUGGAGUGGGAGAGCAACGGGCAGCCGGAGAACACCUACAAGACCACCCCGCCCGUGCUAGACUCCGAUGGCUCCUACUUACUCUACAGCAAGCUCACCGUGGACAAGAGCAGGUGGCAGCCAGAGAACGUCUUCACAUGCUCCGUGAUGCAUGAGGCUCUGCACAACCACUACACCCAGAAGAGCCUCUCCGUGUCUCCGGAGCUGCAACUGGAGGAGAGCUGUGCGGAGGCGCAGGACGGGGAGCUGGACGGGCUGUGGACGACCAUCACCAUCUUCAUCACACUCUUCCUGCUAAGCGUGUGCUACAGUGCCACCGUCACCUUCUUCAAGUCCUUGGCACUGUUCCCCAUGCUGUCCCCUCCUGUAGGCAAACCUGUCCACCAUACUCUCUCCUCCUGUUCCUGA